This is a long non-coding RNA of Chiroxiphia lanceolata (lance-tailed manakin), 403 nucleotides long. RefSeq lists it as uncharacterized. The transcript is spliced from 3 exons. NCBI's taxonomy places the organism in Eukaryota, Metazoa, Chordata, Aves, Passeriformes, Pipridae. The record is from RefSeq and is a predicted model, not a curated record.
UGUGUAAGAUGCCAUGCUCAUUUCACCAGGAUAUUGAAGGCCAAGGCAGGAGCAGAAAUAAAAGAAGAGAAAAAAGAAAAAAGAUGUUGACCCAAUGUCACAAAAUAUAGCUGCCGCUUGAUCAUGGACAUAGCACUCUGAUGCUGCUUGGCUUCUUGGGUGAACUUCAAAGAGCACAGGGUCCUCUUUGUCUCCAGGAGCUCAUGGGAAUACACUGGUUUUGCCUCUGACAUUGUUUUGAGCACUUUGACCUCCAUUAUAAGGAGACCAUUCAUUAGAAGCAGCAAUCCUCCAAUUACCUCAACACAGCCAGAAGCCUCAAAAGACUGCUUCCACAAUGCGGUUACUGUCCUUUCAUCAGGAACAAAGGCCCUUAGCAGAGGUUUUGUUAACAUCACUUGGU